AUGCAUGUCUAAGUUCACACUCUCGAACGGUGAAACCGCGAAUGGCUCAUUAAAUCAGUCGAGGUUCCUUAGAUGAUCCAAUUUACUUGGAUAACUGUGGUAAUUCUAGAGCUAAUACAUGCCAAACAGCUUUGACCCUCCGGGGAAAGAGCGCUUUUAUUAGUUCAAAACCAGUCGGGUUCGUCCCGUCCUUUGGUGACUCUGGAUAACUUUGUGCCGAUCGCACGGCCCCGAGCCGGCGACGCAUCUUUCAAAUGUCUGCCCUAUCAAAUGACGAUGGUACGUGAUCUGCCUACCAUGUUAGCAACGGGUAGCGGGGAAUCAGGGUUCGAUUCCGGAGAGGGAGCAUGAGAAACGGCUACCACA
Molecule: ribosomal RNA, 366 nt
Filed under: Gracilipurpura rostrata
Lineage: Eukaryota; Metazoa; Mollusca; Gastropoda; Neogastropoda; Fasciolariidae
Description: SSU rRNA
Rfam family: Eukaryotic small subunit ribosomal RNA
Source: RNAcentral